This 427-nucleotide ribosomal RNA is filed under the name uncultured bacterium. RNAcentral describes it as "bacterial SSU rRNA". It matches the Rfam family "Bacterial small subunit ribosomal RNA", at positions 958 to 1398 of the family's 1533-position model. The record is from RNAcentral.
AACGCGAAGAACCUUACCCAGGUUUGACAUCCUUGGAAUUUCUCCGAAAGGAGAGAGUGCUUUUAGAGCCAAGUGACAGGUGUUGCAUGGCCGUCGUCAGCUCGUGUCGUGAGAUGUUUGGUUAAGUCCAUUAACGAGCGCAACCCUUAUAGUUAGUUGAAUUUUUCUAGCUAGACUGCCCUGGUAACAGGGAGGAAGGAGGGGAUGAUGUCAGGUCAGUAUUACCCUUACAUCUGGGGCUACAAACACGCUACAAUGGCCAGUACAAAGGGCAGCCAAGUCGCGAGACGGAGCAAAAUCCCAUCAAAGCUGGUCUCAGUUCGGAUAGCAGGCUGAAACUCGCCUGCUUGAAGCUGGAAUCGCUAGUAACGGUAGGUCAGCUAUACUACCGUGAAUACGUUCCCGGGCCUUGUACACACCGACAUAC